GAGCGAGAAAGGGGCUUCGGCCCUGAGUAAAGCGGCGGACGGGUGAGUAACACGUAGGUAAUCUUCCCUUGAGCGGGGGACAACAGGCCGAAAGGCCUGCUAAUACCGCAUAAGUUCUUCGAGACUCCGGGUCUUGGAGAGGAAAGCUAGGUAGCAAUAUCCGGCACUCGAGGAGGAGCCUGCGUCGCAUCAGCUAGUUGGUGGGGUAACGGCCUACCAAGGCGAAGACGCGUAGCUGGUCUGAGAGGAUGAUCAGCCACACUGGGACUGAGACACGGCCCAGACUCCUACGGGAGGCAGCAGUGGGGAAUAUUGGACAAUGGGCGCAAGCCUGAUCCAGCCACGCCGCGUGAGUGAUGAAGGCCUUCGGGUCGUAAAGCUCUGUGGGGAGGGACGAACCGCCGGAUGUGCAUAGCAUCCGGCAUGACGGUACCUCCUUAGCAAGCACCGGCUAACUUCGUGCCAGCAGCCGCGGUAA
RNAcentral lists this ribosomal RNA (478 nucleotides) under uncultured prokaryote. Its description in RNAcentral is "bacterial SSU rRNA". It matches the Rfam family "Bacterial small subunit ribosomal RNA", at positions 64 to 523 of the family's 1533-position model. The record is from RNAcentral.